RNAcentral lists this long non-coding RNA (589 nucleotides) under Nicotiana benthamiana. Its description in RNAcentral is "long non-coding RNA (NBEN_LNC012881)". The record is from RNAcentral. Lineage: Eukaryota; Viridiplantae; Streptophyta; Magnoliopsida; Solanales; Solanaceae.
AAAACCCUAGACACCAAAAAAAAUACCAAGACUGCCGCCACCUCCAUCUUCAACCCAAAAAUUCACCGGAAAACACCCCUUCAAGACCAGCCCCGUCGACCAGUCCCCUUUUCUCGUCGUCUUCGCCGGCGACCCCUUUUUAACUCACACUAACGACCAGCCCCGUCAACCUCCACGUGAACCAGCCGCCUCUCCCUCCUCACGUCCAAGCCACAACCAUCGUCGAAGCUCCAGUCAGCCCGCCACGUUCGACCAGCAACACGUACAGUCAACAACUGCCUCCCCGUCGUCGUCAAACGGACAAUCAUCUUCCUUCACCGCCCAGCUCACCAUCGAUCCUCCAGCCCCACUUCACGCCUGAACCAGUCGACGACAACCAGACCUCGACCAGCUGACGACCUUCAGCCCAAAACGAAAGACAAAUCGAGAACAAUAAAGAAAAUAAAAACAAGUAAAAGCUGGAAACAGUAAGAGUCCAAAGCUCAUUUCGAGCCCUUUUCCCGCGAGUUUUGAGUUUUCAAAUUAAGUUCGGAUAACUGUUUCUACCGGUUCUUUGUUGGAGUCAUUGUCCGAGGUCUCAUUCAGUCGU